Molecule: ribosomal RNA, 497 nt
Filed under: uncultured bacterium
Lineage: Bacteria
Description: partial 16S ribosomal RNA
Rfam family: Bacterial small subunit ribosomal RNA
Source: RNAcentral
GAUGAACGCUGGCGGCGUGCCUAAUACAUGCAAGUCGAGCGAACAGACGAGGAGCUUGCUCCUUUGACGUUAGCGGCGGACGGGCGAGUAACACGUAGGUAACCUACCUAUAAGACUGGGAUAACUUCGGGAAACCGGAGCUAAUACCGGAUAAUAUUUCGAACCGCAUGGUUCGAUAGUGAAAGAUGGCUUUGCUAUCACUUAUAGAUGGACCUGCGCCGUAUUAGCUAGUUGGUAAGGUAACGGCUUACCAAGGCAACGAUACGUAGCCGACCUGAGAGGGUGAUCGGCCACACUGGAACUGAGACACGGUCCAGACUCCUACGGGAGGCAGCAGUAGGGAAUCUUCCGCAAAGGGCGAAAGCCUGACGGAGCAACGCCGCGUGAGUGAUGAAGGUCUUCGGAUCGUAAAACUCUGUUAUUAGGGAAGAACAAACGUGUAAGUAACUGUGCACGUCUUGACGGUACCUAAUCAGAAAGCCACGGCUAACUACGUG